This 362-nucleotide unclassified non-coding RNA is filed under the name soil metagenome. Its description in RNAcentral is "partial contains 5.8S ribosomal RNA, internal transcribed spacer 2, and large subunit ribosomal RNA". The stretch from base 3 to 120 matches the Rfam family "5.8S ribosomal RNA", at positions 37 to 154 of the family's 154-position model. The record is from RNAcentral.
GCUGAAGAACGUAGCGAAAUGCGAUAAGUAAUGUGAAUUGCAGAAUUCAGUGAAUCAUCGAAUCUUUGAACGCACCUUGCGCUCCUUGGUAUUCCGAGGAGCAUGCCUGUUUGAGUGUCAUUAAUAUAUCAACCUUCUCUUUUUUGAGUUGUUUGGAUGUGGGGGUUUGCUGGCCUCUUAAAUGAUUCAGCUCCCCUGAAAUGCAUUAGCAGAACAACCUGUUCAUUGGCGUGAUAAUUAUCUAUGCUAUUGAAUGUGAGGGCAGUUCAGCUUUCUAACCGUCCUUGGACAAUUCAUCAUUAAUGUGACCUCAAAUCAGGUAGGACUACCCGCUGAACUUAAGCAUAUCAAUAAGCGGAGGA